CGAUAUGCUUUGGGGAGCUGUAAGUAAGCUUUGAUCCAGAGAUUUCCGAAUGGGGAAACCCAGCAUGAGUUAUGUCAUGUUAUCGAUAUGUGAAUACAUAGCAUAUCAGAAGGCACACCCGGAGAACUGAAACAUCUUAGUACCCGGAGGAAGAGAAAGAAAAUUCGAUUCCCUUAGUAGCGGCGAGCGAAAUGGGAAGAGCCCAAACCAACAAGCUUGCUUGUUGGGGUUGUAGGACACUCUAUACGGAGUUACAAAGGACGACAUUAGACGAAUCAUCUGGAAAGAUGAAUCAAAGAAGGUAAUAAUCCUGUAGUCGAAAAUGUUGUCUCUCUUGAGUGGAUCCUGAGUACGACGGAGCACGUGAAAUUCCGUCGGAAUCUGGGAGGACCAUCUCCUAAGGCUAAAUACUCUCUAGUGACCGAUAGUGAACCAGUACCGUGAGGGAAAGGUGAAAAGCACCCCGGAAGGGGAGUGAAAUAGAACCUGAAACCGUGUGCUUACAAGUAGUCAGAGCCCGUUAAUGGGUGAUGGCGUGCCUUUUGUAGAAUGAACCGGCGAGUUACGAUUUGAUGCAAGGUUAAGCAGUAAAUGUGGAGCCGUAGCGAAAGCGAGUCUGAAUAGGGCGUUUAGUAUUUGGUCGUAGACCCGAAACCAGGUGAUCUACCCUUGGUCAGGUUGAAGUUCAGGUAACACUGAAUGGAGGACCGAACCGACUUACGUUGAAAAGUGAGCGGAUGAACUGAGGGUAGCGGAGAAAUUCCAAUCGAACCUGGAGAUAGCUGGUUCUCUCCGAAAUAGCUUUAGGGCUAGCCUCAAGUGAUGAUUAUUGGAGGUAGAGCACUGUUUGGACGAGGGGCCCCUCUCGGGUUACCGAAUUCAGACAAACUCCGAAUGCCAAUUAAUUUAACUUGGGAGUCAGAACAUGGGUGAUAAGGUCCGUGUUCGAAAGGGAAACAGCCCAGACCACCAGCUAAGGUCCCAAAAUAUAUGUUAAGUGGAAAAGGAUGUGGCGUUGCCCAGACAACUAGGAUGUUGGCUUAGAAGCAGCCAUCAUUUAAAGAGUGCGUAAUAGCUCACUAGUCGAGUGACACUGCGCCGAAAAUGUACCGGGGCUAAACAUAUUACCGAAGCUGUGGAUUGUCCUUUGGACAAUGGUAGGAGAGCGUUCUAAGGGCGUUGAAGCAUGAUCGUAAGGACAUGUGGAGCGCUUAGAAGUGAGAAUGCCGGUGUGAGUAGCGAAAGACGGGUGAGAAUCCCGUCCACCGAUUGACUAAGGUUUCCAGAGGAAGGCUCGUCCGCUCUGGGUUAGUCGGGUCCUAAGCUGAGGCCGACAGGCGUAGGCGAUGGAUAACAGGUUGAUAUUCCUGUACCACCUAUAAUCGUUUUA
This 1390-nucleotide ribosomal RNA is filed under the name Staphylococcus aureus. RNAcentral's name for it is "partial 23S ribosomal RNA". It matches the Rfam family "Bacterial large subunit ribosomal RNA", at positions 69 to 1461 of the family's 2925-position model. The record is from RNAcentral. Lineage: Bacteria; Bacillati; Bacillota; Bacilli; Caryophanales; Staphylococcaceae.